This 460-nucleotide ribosomal RNA is filed under the name uncultured bacterium. RNAcentral's name for it is "partial 16S ribosomal RNA". It matches the Rfam family "Bacterial small subunit ribosomal RNA", at positions 338 to 795 of the family's 1533-position model. The record is from RNAcentral.
CCUACGGGGGGCUGCAGUGAGGAAUAUUGGUCAAUGGACGCGAGUCUGAACCAGCCAAGUCGCGUGAAGGAUGAAGGAUCUAUGGUUUGUAAACUUCUUUUAUAUGGGAAUAAAGUGAGGAACGUGUUCCUUUUUGUAUGUACCAUAUGAAUAAGCAUCGGCUAACUCAGUGCCAGCAGCCGCGGUAAUACGGAGGAUGCGAGCGUUAUCCGGAUUUAUUGGGUUUAAAGGGUGCGUAGGUGGUUAAUUAAGUCAGCGGUGAAAGUUUGUGGCUCAACCAUAAAAUUGCCGUUGAAACUGGUUGACUUGAGUAUAUUUGAGGGAGGCGGAAUGCGUGGUGUAGCGGUGAAAUGCAUAGAGAUCACGCAGAACUCCGAUUGCGAAGGCAGCUUACUAAACUAUAACUGACACUGAAGCACGAAAGCGUGGGGAUCAAACAGGAUUAGAUACCCCAGUAGUC